UCGGGGACAUGUCCCAACCAAGAUUGGUUUUGGUUUUCUUUGCAUAGAGGCUUUGUUAGAUUACUGUGUACUUGGGUGGUGUUGGUUGGUUAUUUUGGAAUCAAUUGUGGGUUAUUGGUUAUAGACAUAGCUCUUAUUCUUAGAACUCAUCUUGUACUAUCUUUCUAUAUGUUCAAAAUUCAACCCUUAUUAGGCAGUGUAUGGUUUUUGUUUAGGUUCAGGGGUGGUCUUCAAUCCAUAGUGGACUUAAGAUACCCAUCACAGCCAGGCCCUGGUUUGGGUUGUGACAAAGUUGGUAUCAAAGCCAAGGUUUGGUGUCAUUGGGUCUCCACAAAUCUGUGUCAAGUAAAGUCUCUUUUAUGAGUGUGCAGCAC
RNAcentral lists this long non-coding RNA (374 nucleotides) under Capsicum annuum. Its description in RNAcentral is "long non-coding RNA (CANN_LNC011359)". The record is from RNAcentral. Lineage: Eukaryota; Viridiplantae; Streptophyta; Magnoliopsida; Solanales; Solanaceae.